AUACGGAGGAUCCAAGCGUUAUCCGGAUUUAUUGGGUUUAAAGGGAGCGUAGGUGGACGUAUAAGUCAGUUGUGAAAGUUUGCGGCUCAACCGUAAAAUCGCAGUUGAUACUGUAUGUCUUGAGUGUACAAGAGGUGGGCGGAAUUCGUGGUGUAGCGGUGAAAUGCUUAGAUAUCACGAGGAACUCCGAUUGCGGAAGGCAGCUCACUGGGGUGCAACUGACACUGAGGCUCGAAAGUGUGGGUAUC
This 248-nucleotide ribosomal RNA is filed under the name uncultured bacterium. RNAcentral's name for it is "partial 16S ribosomal RNA". It matches the Rfam family "Bacterial small subunit ribosomal RNA", at positions 523 to 769 of the family's 1533-position model. The record is from RNAcentral.